This 420-nucleotide ribosomal RNA is filed under the name uncultured Microcoleus sp. RNAcentral's name for it is "bacterial SSU rRNA". It matches the Rfam family "Bacterial small subunit ribosomal RNA", at positions 356 to 790 of the family's 1533-position model. The record is from RNAcentral. Lineage: Bacteria; Bacillati; Cyanobacteriota; Cyanophyceae; Oscillatoriales; Microcoleaceae.
GGGGAAUUUUCCGCAAUGGGCGAAAGCCUGACGGAGCCAGACCGCGUGGGGGACGAAGGCUCUUGGGUUGUAAACCCCUUUUCUCAGGGAAGAAAAAAAUGACGGUACCUGAGGAAUAAGCAUCGGCUAACUCCGUGCCAGCAGCCGCGGUAAGACGGAGGAUGCAAGCGUUAUCCGGAAUGAUUGGGCGUAAAGCGUCCGCAGGUGGCUAUUCAAGUCUGCUGUCAAAGAGCAAGGCUCAACCUUGUCAAGGCAGUGGAAACUGAAAGGCUAGAGUGUGGUAGGGGUAGAGGGAAUUCCCAGUGUAGCGGUGAAAUGCGUAGAGAUUGGGAAGAACACCGGUGGCGAAAGCGCUCUACUGGACCUGCACUGACACUGAGGGACGAAAGCUAGGGGAGCGAAUGGGAUUAGAUACCCCAG